Molecule: transfer RNA, 76 nt
Filed under: Pseudomonadales bacterium
Lineage: Bacteria; Pseudomonadati; Pseudomonadota; Gammaproteobacteria; Pseudomonadales
Description: tRNA-Met
Source: RNAcentral
AAAUAUAUUAAUCAGGUCACGGAUUAGUGUAUUCAUAAUGCUGGGGUCGGUGGUUCAAGUCCACCCGUAGCUACCA